CUGCUGCCUUCCGUAGGAGUCUGGUCCGUGUCUCAGUACCAGUGUGGGGGACCUUCCUCUCAGAACCCCUACGCAUCGUCGCCUCGGUGGGCCGUUACCCCGCCGACUAGCUAAUGCGCCGCAUGCCCAUCCCCCGCCGGAAUCGCUUCCUUUGGCCGCAGACCCAUGCAGGUCCGCGGCGUUACGCGGUAUUAGUCGGGAUUUCUCCCGGUUAUCCCCCUGCGGGGGGUCAGGUCGCAUACGUUGUUACUCCACCCGUGCGCCGGUCGCCGGCG
This 275-nucleotide ribosomal RNA is filed under the name uncultured bacterium. RNAcentral's name for it is "partial 16S ribosomal RNA". The record is from RNAcentral.